GAAGGUCUGGGCUGGGCCAGAGAACAGAGCCUCUCUGACCACUCCUGGCUGGCGCGGAGCUGCUGGCCCUGGACCCCGUGCAGGGAAGGAGCACUCGAAACAGGCCGGUCCUUCCCACCGCAGGACGGAGAAGCAGGUGGUGGGCGCAGGGCUGCAGACUGCAGGGGAGUCUGGGAGCAGUCCCGAGGGCCUCCUGGCAUCGGAGCUGGUCCACCGGCCAGAGCCAUGCACCUCACCUGAGGCCAUGGGACCCUCUGGACACAGACGACGCUGCUUGGUCCCAGCCUCCCCAGAGCAACACGUGGAGGUGGAUAAGGCUGUGGCACAGAACAUGGACUCUGUGUUUAAGGAGCUCUUGGGAAAGACCUCUGUCCGCCAGGGCCUUGGGCCAGCAUCUACCACCUCUCCCAGUCCUGGGCCCCGAAGCCCAAAGGCCCCGCCCAGCAGCCGCCUGGGCAGGAACAAAGGCUUCUCCCGGGGCCCUGGGGCCCCAGCCUCACCCUCAGCUUCCCACCCCCAGGGCCUAGACACGACCCCCAAGCCACACUGAGGUGCCGCUGCUGGAGAUGCGUGCCCCCGGCGGCUACCCGCUGGACCGGCCACUCUCCCCAGCCCCCUUGCUUCUCUCCAGCCCUGUCCAGCAAGUGCAGGGUGCCUGCACUUCACCCUGUGCAGAGAGGUGGGAUGGGGCCGUGCACACAGGGAUGCCCGCUCCACAUCCUGCCUGCCCCUCAGCCCUGGCCCAGGCCCCUUUUGGAGGCAGCUGAGGAAGGAUGCUGGGGAAAGCCCUCUUCUGCAGCUUUGUGGAAGGCUGAUCAGUGGCUGCUGGGUGGCGGGUAC
This 840-nucleotide long non-coding RNA is filed under the name Homo sapiens (human). RNAcentral's name for it is "non-protein coding lnc-L1CAM-1:1". The record is from RNAcentral. Lineage: Eukaryota; Metazoa; Chordata; Mammalia; Primates; Hominidae.